This 497-nucleotide ribosomal RNA is filed under the name uncultured bacterium. RNAcentral describes it as "partial 16S ribosomal RNA". It matches the Rfam family "Bacterial small subunit ribosomal RNA", at positions 28 to 507 of the family's 1533-position model. The record is from RNAcentral.
GAUGAACGCUGGCGGCGUGCCUAAUACAUGCAAGUAGAACGCUGAAGGAAGGAGCUUGCUCUUUCCGGAUGAGUUGCGAACGGGUGAGUAAAGCGUAGGUAACCUGCCUGGUAGCGGGGGAUAACUAUUGGAAACGAUAGCUAAUACCGCAUAACAGUAGAUGUUGCAUGAUAUCUACUUAAAAGGUGCAAUUGCACCACUACCAGAUGGACCUGCGUUGUAUUAGCUAGUUGGUGAGGUAACGGCUCACCAAGGCGAAGAUACAGAGCCGACCUGAGAGGGGUGAUCGGCAAACCGGGACUGGGAACAGGGCCAGGAUUCUACGGGAGGGAGGAGGAGGGGAAUUUCGGGAAUAGGAGGAAGGCUGGACGGGGAACGCCGGGGGAGGGAAGAAGGUUUUCGGGACGGAAAGCUCGGUUGUAAGGGAAGAAAGAGGGUGAGAGUGGAAAGUUCACACUGUGACGGUAUCUGACCAGAAAGGGACGGCUAACUACGUG